GAAAUGCGAUACGUAGUGUGAAUUGCAGAAUUCCGUGAACCAUCGAAUCUUUGAACGCAUAUUGCGCUCGAGCCCUCGGGCAAGAGCAUGUCUGCCUCAGCGUCGGUUUACACCCUCACCCCUCCCAACUUGUUGGGUAUGUUUGCUUUUUUUGCAAGCCACAGGGGUGGAUCUGGCUUCCCCAAUCAGCCAUCAGGUAGAUUGGGUUGGCUGAAGUACAGAGGCUUAAGCAAGGACCCGAUAUGGGCUUCAACUGGAUAGGUAGCACCGGCUUUUGCCGACUACACGAAGUUGUUGCUUGUGGAUCUUGCUAGAAGCCAAGCAGGAAUGUGCCUUUGGCAUAUCUUAACUUUCGACCUGAGCUCAGGCAAGAUUACCCGCUGAACUUAA
Molecule: unclassified non-coding RNA, 390 nt
Filed under: uncultured fungus
Lineage: Eukaryota; Fungi
Description: sequence contains ITS1
Rfam family: 5.8S ribosomal RNA (bases 1-105)
Source: RNAcentral